GGAUCCCAAAGGGCGGUUANUCGGGAUAUUAACUUGGGGCGGUAAAGGAGGUUGGCGUAGGGUGAGCCUAAGUAAAGCAAACAAGUGAAAGGCGGUGGUGGCUCAACCAUACAGCUAAUUGUUGAAACUCGCUAAAGCUAGAGCAUUAGGAGAGGGUAGCUGGAAAUUGCUUGGUGUAGGAGUGAAAAUCCGUAGAUAUCAGCAGGAACACCGAUGGCGUAGGGCAGGCUACUGGCCUAUUGCUGACACUAAGGCACGAAAAGCGUGGGGAGCGAACGGGAUUAGAUACCCCCGGUAGUCCACGCCGUAAACGAUGGAUGCUAGCUGUUAUCGGUAUCGACCCCCGGUAGUAGCGAAGCUAACGCGUUAAGCAUCCCGCCUGUGGAGUACGAGCGCAAGCUUAAAACAUAAAGGAAUUGACGGGGACCCGCACAAGCGGUGGAGCGUGUUGUUUAAUCCGAUGCUAAGCGGAGAACCUUACCAGGGCUUGACAUCCUGCGAAGGUUUCCGAAAGGAAACUGUGCCGUUUGGAACGCAGUGACAGAUGAUGCAUGGCCGUCGUCAGCUCGUGUCGUGAGAUGUUUGGUUAAGUCCAUUAACGAGCGCAACCCUUAUAGCUAGUUGGAUUUCUCUAGCUAGACUGCCCCGGUAACGGGGAGGAAGGAGGGGAUGAUGUCAGGUCGUCAUUUCUCUUACGUCCUGGGCUACAAACACGCUACAAUGGCCGGUACAAAGGGCAGCUAAGUCGCGAGACGGAGCAAAUCCCAGCAAAGCCGGUCCCAGUUCGGAUUGUAGGCUGAAACUCGCCUGCAUGAAGCCGGAAUCGCUAGUAACGGUGGGUCAGCACACUACCGUGAAUACGUUCCCGGGUCUUGUACACACCGCCCGUCAAACCAUGAAAGUCGCCAAUACCUGAAGUGCUAUCUUUGAGUAGCCCUAAGGUAGGGGAGAUGAUUGGGGUUAAGUCGUAACAAGGUAGCCGU
This 983-nucleotide ribosomal RNA is filed under the name uncultured bacterium. RNAcentral's name for it is "bacterial SSU rRNA". It matches the Rfam family "Bacterial small subunit ribosomal RNA". The record is from RNAcentral.